GCCGGGUGUGGUGGCUCAUGCCUGUAAUCCCAGCAGCUUGGGAGGCGGAGACAGAAGGAUCGCGAGUUCAAAGCCAGCCUCAGCAAAAGCGAGGUGAGACCCUGUCUCUA
RNAcentral lists this small RNA (110 nucleotides) under Marmota monax (woodchuck). The record is from RNAcentral. Lineage: Eukaryota; Metazoa; Chordata; Mammalia; Rodentia; Sciuridae.